RNAcentral lists this small RNA (202 nucleotides) under Streptomyces chattanoogensis. RNAcentral's name for it is "c-di-AMP sequence". It matches the Rfam family "c-di-AMP riboswitch aptamer (ydaO/yuaA leader)". Rfam says of the family: This family represents a conserved RNA structure found upstream of the ydaO and yuaA genes in Bacillus subtilis and related genes in other bacteria. The ydaO/yuaA element is thought to act as a genetic "off" switch for the ydaO and yuaA genes in its native state. It is believed that the element may be triggered during osmotic shock leading to activation of ydaO, a predicted amino acid transporter gene, and members of the yuaA-yubG operon which code for KtrA and KtrB K+ transporters. The record is from RNAcentral. Lineage: Bacteria; Bacillati; Actinomycetota; Actinomycetes; Kitasatosporales; Streptomycetaceae.
UCCGGACGGACGCCGAAUCCUGCCGCCGUCCCGGAUGUCAGGUCGACGCGGUUGGAUCGGCAGGAGCGGAGGACCCGAGCAUGACGGGGUCCCGGCCCUCGCGGCCGACGGACUCCUUGGGGUGAAGCCGUCCACACGGCCGGGCAUCUUCGCCUGCCCGAACCCGACAGGUCUCCCUUCGCAGGCGGCUGACGAAGGGUUG